UACGAAGGGGGCUAGCGUUGCUCGGAAUCACUGGGCGUAAAGGGCGCGUAGGCGGCCAUUCAAGUCGGAGGUGAAAGCCCAGGGCUCAACCCUGGAAUUGCCUUCGAUACUGUCUGGCUAGAGACCGGAAGAGGUAAGUGGAACUGCGAGUGUAGAGGUGAAAUUCGUAGAUAUCAGGAGGAACACCAGUGGCGAAGGCGGCUUUCUGGACGGUAACUGACGCUGAGGCGCGAAAGCUAGGGGAGCAAACGGG
This 253-nucleotide ribosomal RNA is filed under the name uncultured bacterium. RNAcentral describes it as "partial 16S ribosomal RNA". It matches the Rfam family "Bacterial small subunit ribosomal RNA", at positions 524 to 776 of the family's 1533-position model. The record is from RNAcentral.